RNAcentral lists this ribosomal RNA (740 nucleotides) under uncultured Pseudomonadota bacterium. RNAcentral describes it as "bacterial SSU rRNA". It matches the Rfam family "Bacterial small subunit ribosomal RNA", at positions 68 to 802 of the family's 1533-position model. The record is from RNAcentral. Lineage: Bacteria; Pseudomonadati; Pseudomonadota.
GAAAGAAGGGGGCAACCCCUUCGAGUAGAGUGGCGAACGGGUGAGUAAUACAUCGGAACGUACCCAGUAGCGGGGGAUAACCUCUCGAAAGAGAGGCUAAUACCGCAUACGACCUACGGGUGAAAGAGGGGGAUCGCAAGACCUCUCACUAUUGGAGCGGCCGAUGUCGGAUUAGCUAGUUGGUGGGGUAAAAGCCUACCAAGGCGACGAUCCGUAGCUGGUCUGAGAGGACGGCCAGCCACACUGGAACUGAGACACGGUCCAGACUCCUACGGGAGGCAGCAGUGGGGAAUUUUGGACAAUGGGCGCAAGCCUGAUCCAGCCAUGCCGCGUGAGUGAAGAAGGCCUUCGGGUUGUAAAGCUCUUUCGGCGGGGACGAAAAGGUCCGUGUUAACACCACGGAUCCAUGACGGUACCCGCAGAAGAAGCACCGGCUAACUACGUGCCAGCAGCCGCGGUAAUACGUAGGGUGCAGGCGUUAAUCGGAAUUACUGGGCGUAAAGCGUGCGCAGGCGGUUUGUUAAGACAGAUGUGAAAUCCCCGGGCUUAACCUGGGAACUGCGUUUGUUACUGGCAAGCUUGAGUGUGGCAGAGGGGGGUGGAAUUCCACGUGUAGCAGUGAAAUGCGUAGAGAUGUGGAGGAACACCGAUGGCGAAGGCAGCCCCCUGGGCUAACACUGACGCUCAUGCACGAAAGCGUGGGGAGCAAACAGGAUUAGAUACCCUGGUAGUCCACGCCC